Molecule: long non-coding RNA, 2201 nt
Organism: Dalotia coriaria
Lineage: Eukaryota; Metazoa; Arthropoda; Insecta; Coleoptera; Staphylinidae
Exons: 12
Source: RefSeq, a predicted model, not a curated record
GCUCAACGUGAGCUGAAGUGCUAUGGUUUCAUCAGUUUCAUCUACAUUGUGAAAUUUACCAAAGUGACGUUCAAAUGGUUCAUUUUAUUCGUUAAUUCAAAUAAGGUAUGAUCCUGACAAUGGUUUUAACUUCAGGGAGUAACAUUUCUUUGAUUUCUGUGAGUUGUUUACUUGUUUAUUUGUUUAGUUUGGGGGUUAUAAUGUACUGACUUAAGUGAAUGUGUCAUUGCGCGGCAUGCUGCUUGGUUUAUCUUAUAGGUAAAUAUCGGGUUCUUGUUAUCCUUUCUUCAUUAUGGAAGUUACACAUCUUAUCUUGGGUAUGAUACAUAAGCAAAACAGAACAUUGGACAUUCUUUGUAAAAUCUUAGUUUUAAUUUAAUUUUUUUAGUAUUCUAGAUGUACUGUAUGAGAUAUAACAAAAGAAGUGCUGGUAGAUACGUUGGAGUAGUCUGGACGUGCCAAGAUGGUAGUCUAAUACGUCAUUUUGUAAUUUUCCGAAAAGACGUGGUGGAACUGGCUUAUAUACUUACUUAUUUACUUUACAUCAUUUUGUAGCUAAAGAGUUGAUCUUUCAGGUGCGUUUAUUUACCUUGUACUGGCCCUAAACGUGCCCUAAAAUGGCCCUUGAAAUAAAGCCAUUUUGUGAAUUUUGGAAAACACGCCGUGGAAAAUGGUUCAUGACUCGUGAACUUUAAGGGUACGCCCUAUGAUCACCUAGUAGUGGACCUGGAAGUGCUCUAAAAUAGCCCUUGAAACUCAGCAUUUUCGUGAGUUUUGUAAAACACGCCGUGGAAAAUGGCUCAUAACUUGUAAUACGCCGUGGAAAAUGGCUCAUAACUUGGGAGCCCUAAGGGUGCACCCUUUAUACACCUUGUAGUGGGCCUGGAAGUGCCCUAAAAUGGCCCUUGAAACUCAGCAUUUUUGUGAGUUUUGGAAAACACGCCGUGGAAAAUGGCUCAUAACUUCGAAACCCUAAGAGUGCGCUCUAUGAUCACGCUGUAGUGGACCUGCAAGUGCCCUAAAAUGGCCCUUGAAAGUCAGCAUUUUUGUGAGUUUUGGAAAACACGCCUUGGAAAAUCGCUCAUAACUUAGGAACCCUAAGGAUGCACCCUAUGAUCACCUUGUGGUGGACCUGGAAGUGCCCUAAAAUGGCCCUUGAAACUCAGCAUUUUUGUAAGUUUUGGAAAAUACGCUGUGGAAAAUGGCUCAUAACUUCGGAACCCUAAGGGUGCGCUCUAUGAUCACAUUGUAGUGGACCUGCAAGUGCCCUAAAAUGGCCCUUGAAACUCCGCAUUUUUGUGAGUUUUGGAAAACACGCCUUGGAAAAUGGUUCAUAACUUGGGAAUCCUAAGGAUGCACCCUAUGAUCACGUUGUAGUGGACCUGCAAGUGCCCUAAAAUGGCCCUUGAAACUCCGCAUUUUUGUGAGUUUUGGAAAACACGCCUUGGAAAAUGGUUCAUAACUUGGGAAUCCUAAGGAUGCACCCUAUGAUCACGUUGUAGUGGACCUGCAAGUGCCCUAAAAUGGCCCUUGAAACUCCGCAUUUUUGUGAGUUUUGGAAAACACGCCUUGGAAAAUGGUUCAUAACUUGGGAACCCUAAGGAUGUACCCUAUGAUCACCUUGUGGUGGAUCUGCAAGUGCCCUAAAAUAGCCCUUGAAACUCAGCAUUUUUGUGAGUUUUGGAAAACACGCCUUGGAAAAUGGUUCAUAACUUGGGAAUCCUAAGGAUGCAGCCUAUGAUCACUUUGUGGUAGACCUGGAAGUACCCUAAAAUGGCCCUUGAAACUCAGCAUUUUUGGGAGUUUUGGAAAACACGCCGUGGAAAAUUGCUCAUAACUUGGGAACCCUAAGGAUGCGCCCUAUGAUCACCUUGUAGUGGACUUAGAAGUGCCCUAAAAUGGCCCUUAAAACUCAGCAUUUUUGUGAGUUUUGGAAAACACGCCGUGGAAAAUGGCUUAUAACUCGUGAACCUUAAGGGUGCACCCUAUGUACACCUUGUAGUGGACCUGGAAGAGCCUUAAAAUGACCCUUAAACUUAAGCCAUUUUGUGAGUUUUGGGAAACACGCCGUGAAAAAUAGCCACUUUUUAAUGUCUAAAAUUUUUACAAUUAAACUUAUUUGUUUAAGUUGUUCGAAUCCUAAUUUUCAAUACUUUUUCUUUGGUUUUUUGAUUUUAAUUUUAAUUUUGUUGUCGCUGAAA